ACUUUUCUCUAAAUUUUUCCUUCUCUAAAAAGAGUCCCACCACUCUAUUCCAAGCCUUGAGAAUAGCUAGGAAGAUCUCUUGGUUGUUCUUCAUUGGAGCUAUUUGAAGAUUUUUGAAAAGCUACAAAGGAUGACUUUGAACUUUAGAGAGAGAGGUUUGUCAAUGGAGCUGCUCAAGAAGAAUUUUCAACAAUGGAGAUAUAAAGUUUAGCAAAAGAGGUUUGUCAAUGGAGCUUCGAUGAGAAUUUUUCAACAAUGGAAGAUGUAAAAUUUAGCGAAAUGGUAGCCGAAAAAUUAUGGCCGUUAGAGGACUUAAUCACAGCUAUCGAAGCUUAGGCCUAUUAAGGAACUCUUAAAAGUAAUUGGAAAUGAAAGAAGUAGUUCAUGUCUUUUAUAAA
Long non-coding RNA from Momordica charantia (bitter melon), 398 nucleotides. RefSeq lists it as uncharacterized. Lineage: Eukaryota; Viridiplantae; Streptophyta; Magnoliopsida; Cucurbitales; Cucurbitaceae. The record is from RefSeq and is a predicted model, not a curated record.